RNAcentral lists this ribosomal RNA (439 nucleotides) under uncultured bacterium. Its description in RNAcentral is "partial 16S ribosomal RNA". It matches the Rfam family "Bacterial small subunit ribosomal RNA", at positions 339 to 795 of the family's 1533-position model. The record is from RNAcentral.
CUACGGGACGCAGCAGUAGGGAAUCUUAGACAAUGGGGGAAACCCUGAUCUAGCCAUGCCGCGUGAGUGAUGAAGGCCUUAGGGUUGUAAAGCUCUUUCGCUGGGGAAGAUAAUGACGGUACCCAGUAAAGAAACCCCGGCUAACUCCGUGCCAGCAGCCGCGGUAAUACGGAGGGGGUUAGCGUUGUUCGGAAUUACUGGGCGUAAGGCGCGCGUAGGCGGGCUAUUAAGUCAGGGGUGAAAUCCCGGGGCUCAACCCCGGAACUGCCUUUGAUACUGGUAGUCUUGAGUUCGAGAGAGGUGAGUGGAAUUCCGAGUGUAGAGGUGAAAUUCGUAGAUAUUCGGAGGAACAUCAGUGGCGAAGGCGACUCACUGGCUCGAUACUGACGCUGAGGUGUGAAAGUGUGGGGAGCAAACAGGAUUAGAUACCCUUGUAGUC